RNAcentral lists this small RNA (30 nucleotides) under Bombyx mori (domestic silkworm). RNAcentral's name for it is "ovarian small RNA-22473". The record is from RNAcentral. Lineage: Eukaryota; Metazoa; Arthropoda; Insecta; Lepidoptera; Bombycidae.
UAGCUAGUAGGUGAGCUCACGGGGCUCAAA